UCAGAAUAAAAAUAAUUCAAGGUCUGGCUCCCAGUUAUCCUAGCUUAGAAAACAAGACUCUGAGGGAGAAUCCACUGGGAGCAUCACUGGGAUCAACACUUGUGAAGAAAUAAAGAGGAGAGAAUUGGGCAGAGGUACCUCUGCUGCGCUGCCCAGACCACUGAUUCCUCGCUGUUCCUGAGUCAUGCGCUAAACUCUUCUGUCUUUGCUCGACCUGCUCAUGUUGCUUGAAAUGCAGUUGCCGCCGGACACCAGGCAAAAUCCUGCCUAUCCAGGUUUACUUCAAAGAGCCAAGCAUUCUGCCAGCUGCCUGCAUGCAGGACUCUGCGGUAACAGAUCUCCAGUACUCCUGCUUUCUUCCCUUAAGCUCUUCUGUCUUAGCAGUGGAAGGCUGUAGCUUUAUUCUGGAUCACUCGCAGCACUUAGCUGUUAGAACUGAAAAAUCUUAAGCAUAGCCUCUCUAAUUUGCCGCAUUCACUUUAUUCAUAUCAUUUGCCAAAAAAAGGGACUGUGGAGAAUUGGAUCAAAUGUUUACGAACUGAUUGCUUGGCCCUGGGGUGGUGUCUUUGGCAAUGGAUCCACUCCAAAUCAGUCAAAUUGUUGGCUUUGCACAACAAGGCCUCCGGAAAGAGGGCAAGAGAAAUAGAAGCAUUUCAUUACGGAUGUUUGGAGUUAAAUUUCAAAGCAAUGCUAUUUUAUAAAUGUGAUAUGAUUACAUGUUUAUCUGCACUCUUGAAAUACAGUCCAAAAGCCAUAAGUUUUUUAAAAAACAUGAGCACGUACACUGCAGAGAGAUGUUGCAUAAAGGCUCGUUUGACUGGUUUUACCCACUGACCGACACACGUGUGUAAAAGACAUCAA
Long non-coding RNA from Chinchilla lanigera (long-tailed chinchilla), 861 nucleotides. RefSeq lists it as uncharacterized. NCBI's taxonomy places the organism in Eukaryota, Metazoa, Chordata, Mammalia, Rodentia, Chinchillidae. The transcript has 3 exons. The record is from RefSeq and is a predicted model, not a curated record.